RNAcentral lists this ribosomal RNA (205 nucleotides) under Clostridioides difficile. RNAcentral describes it as "partial 23S ribosomal RNA". It matches the Rfam family "Bacterial large subunit ribosomal RNA", at positions 662 to 866 of the family's 2925-position model. The record is from RNAcentral. Lineage: Bacteria; Bacillati; Bacillota; Clostridia; Peptostreptococcales; Peptostreptococcaceae.
GGAGCCGUAGCGAAAGCGAGUUUCAACUGAGCGUUGAGUAAGUUGACGUAGACCCGAAACCGGGCGACCUACCCAUGGGCAGGAUGGUGCGAAAGUAAAAUUUCGUGAAGGCCCGAACCCACGUGCGUGGAAAAGCUCGGGGAUGACUUGUGGGUAGCAGUGAAAUUCCAAUCGAGCCCGGAGAUAGCUGGUUCUCCCCGAAAUA